Molecule: ribosomal RNA, 253 nt
Filed under: uncultured bacterium
Lineage: Bacteria
Description: partial 16S ribosomal RNA
Rfam family: Bacterial small subunit ribosomal RNA
Source: RNAcentral
UACGGAGGGGGCUAGCGUUGUUCGGAAAUACUGGGCGUAAAGCGCACGUAGGCGGCGCAGUAAGUCAGGGGUGAAAUCCCGGGGCUCAACCCCGGAACUGCCCUUGAAACUGCAGUGCUAGAAUUCUGGAGAGGCGAGUGGAAUUCCGAGUGUAGAGGUGAAAUUCGUAGAUAUUCGGAAGAACACCAGUGGCGAAGGCGACUCGCUGGACAGACAUUGACGCUGAGGUGCGAAAGCGUGGGGAGCAAACAGG